AUUGAACGCUGGCGGCAUGCCUUACACAUGCAAGUCGAACGGCAGCACGGGAGCAAUCCUGGUGGCGAGUGGCGAACGGGUGAGUAAUACAUCGGAACGUGCCCAAUCGUGGGGGAUAACGCAGCGAAAGCUGUGCUAGUACCGCAUACGAUCUACGGAUGAAAGCAGGGGAUCGCAAGACCUUGCGCGAAUGGAGCGGCCGAUGGCAGAUUAGGUAGUUGGUGAGGUAAAGGCUCACCAAGCCGUCGAUCUGUAGCUGGUCUGAGAGGACGACCAGCCACACUGGGACUGAGACACGGCCCAGACUCCUACGGGAGGCAGCAGUGGGGAAUUUUGGACAAUGGGCGAAAGCCUGAUCCAGCCAUGCCGCGUGCAGGAUGAAGGCCUUCGGGUUGUAAACUGCUUUUGUACGGAACGAAACGGCCUUUUCUAAUAAAGAGGGCUAAUGACGGUACCGUAAGAAUAAGCACCGGCUAACUACGUGCCAGCAGCCGCGGUAAUACGUAGGGUGCAAGCGUUAAUCGGAAUUACUGGGCGUAAAGCGUGCGCAGGCGGUUAUGUAAGACAGUUGUGAAAUCCCCGGGCUCAACCUGGGAACUGCAUCUGUGACUGCAUAGCUAGAGUACGGUAGAGGGGGAUGGAAUUCCGCGUGUAGCAGUGAAAUGCGUAGAUAUGCGGAGGAACACCGAUGGCGAAGGCAAUCCCCUGGACCUGUACUGACGCUCAUGCACGAAAGCGUGGGGAGCAAACAGG
Molecule: ribosomal RNA, 753 nt
Filed under: uncultured Comamonadaceae bacterium
Lineage: Bacteria; Pseudomonadati; Pseudomonadota; Betaproteobacteria; Burkholderiales; Comamonadaceae
Description: bacterial SSU rRNA
Rfam family: Bacterial small subunit ribosomal RNA
Source: RNAcentral